This 25-nucleotide non-coding RNA is filed under the name Rattus norvegicus (Norway rat). The record is from RNAcentral. Lineage: Eukaryota; Metazoa; Chordata; Mammalia; Rodentia; Muridae.
AUUGAUCAGAAUCCGCGAUGGGCAC